GGACGCUGGCGGCGUGCUUACACAUGCAAGUCGAACGAGAACGGGUUAUAGCUUGCUAUAACUGUCAGCUAAGUGGCGGACGGGUGAGUAAUGUAUAGUUAAUCUGCCCUUCAGAGAGGGAUAACUACUGGAAACGGUAGCUAAUACCUCAUACACCUUAUUUAUUAAUUAAAUAAGGGAAAUGUUUUUUCGCUGAAGGAUGAGACUAUAUGGUAUCAGGUAGUUGGUGGGGUAAGAGCCUACCAAGCCAAUGACGCCUAGCUGGUCUGAGAGGAUGAUCAGCCACACUGGAACUGAGACACGGUCCAGACUCCUACGGGAGGCAGCAGUGGGGAAUAUUUGCACAAUGGAGGAAACUCUGAUGCAGCAACGCCGCGUGGAGGAUGACGCAUUUCGGUGUGUAAACUCCUUUUAUAUAGGAAGAUAAUGACGGUACUAUAUGAAUUAGCACCGGCUAAAUCCCGUGUCCAGCAGCCCGCGGUAAUACGGGAGGGUGCAAGCGUUACUCGGAAUCACUGGGCGUAAGCGCGCGCAGGGGGCUACA
Molecule: ribosomal RNA, 544 nt
Filed under: uncultured Campylobacterota bacterium
Lineage: Bacteria; Pseudomonadati; Campylobacterota
Description: bacterial SSU rRNA
Rfam family: Bacterial small subunit ribosomal RNA
Source: RNAcentral